GAUGAACGCUGGCGGCGUGCUUAACACAUGCAAGUCGAGCGAGAAGUUUUGAAAAGAUUCUUCGGAUGAAAUUUAAAAUGGAAAGCGGCGGACGGGUGAGUAACGCGUAGGCAACCUGCCCCAUACAAAGGGAUAGCAUUUGGAAACGAAUAUUAAUACCUUAUGAAACUUAACUAGUGCAUGCUAGGUAGGUCAAAGAUUUAUCGGUAUGGGAUGGGCCUGCGUCUGAUUAGCUAGUUGGUGAGGUAACGGCUCACCAAGGCGACGAUCAGUAGCCGACCUGAGAGGGUGAACGGCCACAUUGGAACUGAGACACGGUCCAAACUCCUACGGGAGGCAGCAGUGGGGAAUAUUGCACAAUGGGGGAAACCCUGAUGCAGCACCGCCGCGUGAACGAUGAAGGCCUUUGGGUCGUAAAGUUCUGUUCUAGGUGAUGAAAACUGACAGUAACCUAGGAGAAAGCCCCGGCUAACUCCGUG
This 479-nucleotide ribosomal RNA is filed under the name uncultured bacterium. RNAcentral's name for it is "partial 16S ribosomal RNA". It matches the Rfam family "Bacterial small subunit ribosomal RNA", at positions 28 to 507 of the family's 1533-position model. The record is from RNAcentral.